This 918-nucleotide unclassified non-coding RNA is filed under the name Zea mays. RNAcentral describes it as "misc RNA Zm00001eb265210". The record is from RNAcentral. Lineage: Eukaryota; Viridiplantae; Streptophyta; Magnoliopsida; Poales; Poaceae.
GUGUAAUUGUGAAUUUGUGAUCUUGUAAUUGCUGGCAGAUUAUGUGUGUAAUUGUGAAUUUGUGAUCUUGUAAUUGCUGGCAGAUUAUGUGUGUAAUUGUGAAUUUGUGUAAUUGAUUUUUACUGGUAUCUGGGCUAAUGGGCGGCACGGCACGUUUAAGCCCACCGGGCUGGAAGCCCGGCACGGCACGUUUAGAGGGUCCCCGUGCCGUGCUUGGGCUCUAAGUCCGGCCCGUGGCGGGCACGGCACAGCUCGUUACUGUCUGCGUGCCGGGCCAGCCCGGGCACUAUUCGUGCCGGGCCUAAUCGUGCCCGGGCCGGGUUAGCCCGGCACGCCCAUUUGGACAUGUAUAUAUAUGGCUCUAUGCAGAUUGCAGACCAGUGCGCAAGAGCAUGGGCCAAACCGGCCAAGCAUGGCAUUGGGCUGCAGGCACUCGUCUCCACAGCAACCUCCCCCGCCAGUCCGCAACGGCCAAUGCCACCGUCAUCUUCUCCGCUAUCAACAUCAUCACAUGCAGGAGCUAUGGCAAAGGGAAGGGGUGCGGUGCGGGGGUGUCGUCUGGGUGGCAACUGGCAAAGAGAGGAAAGGAAGGGUGCGAGCAUGCUUUAUCGUGAACCACAGUGCUGUUGUGCCUCUGUGGGCAUCGGCAUCGGCAUCGGCACUUUGAUGGUGGAGGUGGAGGGCAAGUUAUGGCUCACUGAAUAUGGAUAGUAUGGUCGCAAUGGGCCUGCUGCCAAGUCCUUGCAGGUUGCAGCUGCUCUCGCUAGUCCCGCUCUCGCCCAGACACACACAACUCUGACAGCAUGCAUGCCUUGCACAACUUGAGGCAGAACCUCAAACUGCUGCGAAAGCAAAAUAUUCUUCUUGUCUUGAGGAAUAAUAGCAUGCGACUUCAGAUCGUCUUCAUGCUGUUUCGGG